This 806-nucleotide ribosomal RNA is filed under the name Inonotus niveomarginatus. RNAcentral describes it as "eukaryotic LSU rRNA". The stretch from base 350 to 503 matches the Rfam family "5.8S ribosomal RNA". The record is from RNAcentral. Lineage: Eukaryota; Fungi; Basidiomycota; Agaricomycetes; Hymenochaetales; Hymenochaetaceae.
CCGACAGCAGACUGCGAAGGACAUUACCGAGUUUUGAAGCGGAGGCUUGCUGCUGGUGCGGAAACGCACAUGUGCACGGCCUUUGCACUCAAAUCCAAACUCAAACCCCUGUGCACUCAAUAACAGUUGAACCUAGUAGUCUUUUGUUCGUUCACUACAAAGAGCUAGUAUACCGAAUCAGUAGACUAGUAGGAAGAGCCUUGACGGCUCUUUCGAACGUUGAAAGUAAGGGGGAAUGUUCGAAGUGGUGGGGUUUAAUUACAAGAGGCGAACGGUUUGGCUUGUUUAUAUUACAAACACUUUGUUGUUAUGUGAAUGUAAUGCUCCUUGUGGGCGAGAAUUGAAAUACAACUUUCAACAACGGAUCUCUUGGCUCUCGCAUCGAUGAAGAACGCAGCGAAAUGCGAUAAGUAAUGUGAAUUGCAGAAUUCAGUGAAUCAUCGAAUCUUUGAACGCACCUUGCGCCCCUUGGUAUUCCGAGGGGCAUGCCUGUUUGAGUGUCAUGUUAAUAUCAAAUCACUUGUCUUGUUUAUUAAGACUCGCGAUUUGGAGUUGGAGGUUAAUGCUGGCCCGGGCAAUCGUAAUACGUUGCUCUUGGAUUUGUUGGCUCCUCUUAAAUGCAUUAGCUGGACUUUGGUUUGCGCUGUCGGUGUAAUAGUUAACACAGAUUAUGUUUCACCAAAGCGCUUGCCUAGUGGGUCUGCUUCUAGUCGUCCGUAAGGACAAGGAUCCUAUCUCGUGGUGGGCCUUCUUGACACCUUUGACCUCAAAUCAGGUAGGACUACCCGCUGAACUUAAGCAUACUA